AGAUUGAACGCUAGCGGCAUGCCUAACACAUGCAAGUCGAACGGUAACAGGCCCUUCGGGGUGCUGACGAGUGGCGGACGGGUGAGUAAUGCGUAGGAAUCUACCCACGAGUGGGGGAUAACCAACCGAAAGGUUGGCUAAUACCGCAUAAGUCCUACGGGGGAAAGCGGGGGAUCGAAAGACCUCGCGCCGGUGGAUGAGCCGAAGCCGGAUUAGCUAGUUGGUAGGGUAAUGGCCUACCAAGGCGACGAUCCGUAGCUGGUCUGAGAGGACGACCAGCCACACUGGGACUGAGACACGGCCCAGACUCCUACGGGCGGCAGC
This 324-nucleotide ribosomal RNA is filed under the name uncultured prokaryote. RNAcentral describes it as "bacterial SSU rRNA". It matches the Rfam family "Bacterial small subunit ribosomal RNA", at positions 26 to 352 of the family's 1533-position model. The record is from RNAcentral.